Molecule: ribosomal RNA, 255 nt
Filed under: uncultured bacterium
Lineage: Bacteria
Description: partial 16S ribosomal RNA
Rfam family: Bacterial small subunit ribosomal RNA
Source: RNAcentral
UACAUGGGGUGCAAACGUUGCUCGGAAUUAUUGGGCGUAAAGCGCACGUAGGCGGUUCGUUAAGUCGGAUGUGAAAGCCCUCGGCUCAACUGAGGAAGUGCACCCGAAACUGGCGAGCUUGAGUACGAAAGAGGAUCGCGGAAUUCCGAUCGUGAGAGGUGAAAUUCGUAGAUAUCGGGAGGAACACCGGUGGCGAAGGCGGCGAUCUGGGUCGAUACUGACGCUGAGGUGCGAAAGCGUGGGGAGCAAACAGGG